GUAGGUGGCAAGCGUUGUCCGGAAUUAUUGGGCGUAAAGCGCGCGCAGGCGGUUCUUUAAGUCUGAUGUGAAAGCCCACGGGCUCAACCGUGAGGGUCAUUGGAAACUGGAGAACUUGAGUACAGAAGAGGAAAGCGGAAUUCCACGUGUAGCGGUGAAAUGCGUAAAGAUGUGGAGGAACACCAGUGGCGAAGGCGGCUUUCUGGUCUGUAACUGACGCUGAGGCGCGAAGGCGUGGGGAGCAAACAGGAUUAGAUACCCUGGUAGUCCACGCCGUAAACGAUGAGUGCUAAGUGUUAGGGGGUUUCCGCCCCUUAGUGCUGCAGCUAACGCAUUAAGCACUCCGCCUGGGGAGUACGGCCGCAAAGGCUG
RNAcentral lists this ribosomal RNA (372 nucleotides) under uncultured organism. Its description in RNAcentral is "partial 16S ribosomal RNA". It matches the Rfam family "Bacterial small subunit ribosomal RNA", at positions 527 to 896 of the family's 1533-position model. The record is from RNAcentral.